AUUGAACGCUGGCGGCAUGCCUUACACAUGCAAGUCGAACGGCAGCACGGGGGCAACCCUGGUGGCGAGUGGCGAACGGGUGAGUAAUACAUCGGAAUGUACCCAGUAGUGGGGGAUAACUAGUCGAAAGAUUAGCUAAUACCGCAUACGCACUAUGGUGGAAAGCGGGGGAUCGCAAGACCUCGCGCUAUUGGAGCAGCCGAUGUCGGAUUAGCUAGUUGGUGGGGUAAAGGCCUACCAAGGCGACGAUCCGUAGCGGGUCUGAGAGGAUGAUCCGCCACACUGGGACUGAGACACGGCCCAGACUCCUACGGGAGGCAGCAGUGGGGAAUUUUUGGGACAAUGGGGGCAACCCUGAUCCAGCCAUGCCGCGUGAGUGAAGAAGGCCUCGGUGUAAG
This 398-nucleotide ribosomal RNA is filed under the name uncultured bacterium. Its description in RNAcentral is "bacterial SSU rRNA". It matches the Rfam family "Bacterial small subunit ribosomal RNA", at positions 30 to 429 of the family's 1533-position model. The record is from RNAcentral.